UAACCUGCUAAAUAGCCAGGCUAACUUUGGUUGGUCGCCGGCUUCUUAGAGAGACUAUCAACUCAAGUUGAUGGAAGUUUGAGGCAAUAACAGGUCUGUGAUGCCCUUAGAUGUUCUGGGCCGCACGCGCGCUACACUGACAGAGCCAACGAGUUCUUUUCCUUGUUCGAAAGAAUUGGGUAAUCUUGUUAAACUCUGUCGUGCUGGGGAUAAAGCAUUGCAAUUAUUGCUUUUCAACGAGGAAUGCCUAGUAAGCGCGUGUCAUCAGCAUGCGUUGAUUACGUCCCUGACCUUUGUACACACCGCCCGUCGCU
This 314-nucleotide ribosomal RNA is filed under the name uncultured fungus. RNAcentral's name for it is "SSU rRNA". It matches the Rfam family "Eukaryotic small subunit ribosomal RNA", at positions 1344 to 1680 of the family's 1831-position model. The record is from RNAcentral. Lineage: Eukaryota; Fungi.